AUCAUUGAGUAACAGAAACAUAAGACAUAGCCAUAAAAUUUAUCAAAAGGAGAGUAACUUUUACUUUUUACAUUAAUUUCAAAACCAUAUUACUAUAGUCUAGAAAUUUAAAUAAUAUUUCUGAUAAAUUAAGGCAUAUAACAAUAGUCUAUUAGUUUCUAAAUAAAUAGGUUCCAAUAGCCUUAGUAUGAAUGGGUUUUCUAUCAGUGCC
Molecule: long non-coding RNA, 211 nt
Filed under: Elaeis guineensis (African oil palm)
Lineage: Eukaryota; Viridiplantae; Streptophyta; Magnoliopsida; Arecales; Arecaceae
Description: long non-coding RNA (EGUI_LNC056636)
Source: RNAcentral